Long non-coding RNA from Salvia hispanica, 484 nucleotides. RefSeq lists it as uncharacterized. NCBI's taxonomy places the organism in Eukaryota, Viridiplantae, Streptophyta, Magnoliopsida, Lamiales, Lamiaceae. The record is from RefSeq and is a predicted model, not a curated record.
UCAGUGAUCAGGUUUCAAUUCAUAUGUUUAUUCCGAUUCUUAGAAGUAUUUUUCUUAUUUUGCAGAAGGGUUCUACCAAUUCGUUACGAUGUCAAAACCCCAUUUAACCAUUCAUUACUAUGUGGAAAUUUCAUUUGCUAUCUUGACUGCAGAAGUUCCGGAAGAUUCGUAAAGUCAGUCGUAAAUUGAAGUCACAAGUCAGUCUCCUUCUAGGACUUGAACGACGAGCAUAUAAGGAUUAGCAUGUUCGAUGUAAAAUAAGUAUUCGUGCUUUUGAAUAUCUAGGUUUACAAAGACUACUGAGAAUGAUGACCAAAGAAUGCCGCUUACUCAUAGACAUGAGUGCAAACGAACGAGGCAGUAUUCUCGUGUUAGAGAGUGCAUUCACGUAUGAUUUGAUGGAGAAGAACAUAUCACCAAUUAAUUUUAGCUUAAGUGUUUUGGUCACCACAGUUUUAUGUCAAUAAAUAUUACUCCGCUAGUA